RNAcentral lists this non-coding RNA (74 nucleotides) under Ectopseudomonas mendocina. The record is from RNAcentral. Lineage: Bacteria; Pseudomonadati; Pseudomonadota; Gammaproteobacteria; Pseudomonadales; Pseudomonadaceae.
GAGCGAAACCGCUUCCGGCCCUGCCGGAGGUGAUCUGCCCAGCGUGGUGGCUGGGUACUGAUGAGCAGCCGAGU